GACGAGCGCUGGCGGCGUGCUUAACACAUGCAAGUCGAACGGUGAAGCGCCUUCCUUUUUGGUGGGUGUGGAUGAGUGGCGAACGGGUGAGUAACACGUGAGUAACCUGCCCCCUUCUUCUGGAUAACCGCAUGAAAGUGUGGCUAAUACGGGAUAUUCUGGGUCUGUCGCAUGAUGGGUCUGGGAAAGAUAUUGUUUCGGUGGGGGAUGGGCUCGCGGCCUAUCAGCUUGUUGGUGGGGUGAUGGCCUACCAAGGCGGUGACGGGUAGCCGGCCUGAGAGGGUGGACGGUCACACUGGGACUGAGACACGGCCCAGACUCCUACGGGAGGCAGCAGUGGGGAAUAUUGCACAAUGGGCGCAAGCCUGAUGCAGCGACGCCGCGUGAGGGAUGGAGGCCUUCGGGUUGUGAACCUCUUUCGCCAGUGAAGCAGGCCUGCCUCGUUUGCGGGUGGGUUGACGGUAGCUGGAUAAGAAGCGCCGGCUAACUACGUG
RNAcentral lists this ribosomal RNA (494 nucleotides) under uncultured bacterium. Its description in RNAcentral is "partial 16S ribosomal RNA". It matches the Rfam family "Bacterial small subunit ribosomal RNA", at positions 28 to 507 of the family's 1533-position model. The record is from RNAcentral.